AUACGUAGGGAGCGAGCGUUGUCCGGAAUUACUGGGCGUAAAGGGCGCGUAGGCGGCGCUUCAAGUCGUCUGUCAAAUGGGAGGGCUUAACCCUUUUUCGCAGACGAAACUGGAGAGCUUGAGAAGCAGAGAGGCAAACAGAAUUCCUGGUGUAGCGGUGAAAUGCGUAGAUAUCAGGAAGAAGACCAGUGGCGAAGGCGGUUUGCUGGCUGCAUACUGGCGCUGAGGCGGGAAAGCCAGGGGAGCAAACGGGAUUAGAUACCCCGGUAGUCCUGGCAGUAAACGAUGUAUGCUGGGUGUGAGACUAGCGAUAGUUUCGUGCCGAAGUUAACGCGAUAAGCAUACCGCCUGGGGAGUACGGUCGCAAGAUUGAAACUCAAAUGAAUUGACGGGG
This 394-nucleotide ribosomal RNA is filed under the name uncultured bacterium. Its description in RNAcentral is "partial 16S ribosomal RNA". It matches the Rfam family "Bacterial small subunit ribosomal RNA", at positions 523 to 918 of the family's 1533-position model. The record is from RNAcentral.